RNAcentral lists this ribosomal RNA (445 nucleotides) under uncultured bacterium. RNAcentral's name for it is "partial 16S ribosomal RNA". It matches the Rfam family "Bacterial small subunit ribosomal RNA", at positions 354 to 796 of the family's 1533-position model. The record is from RNAcentral.
GUGAGGAAUAUUGGUCAAUGGGCGGGAGCCUGAACCAGCCCAGUCGCGUGAAGGAAGAAGGAUCUAUGGUUCGUAAACUUCUUUUGCAGGGGAAUAAAGUGCAGGACGUGUCCUGUUUUGUAUGUACCCUGAGAAUAAGGAUCGGCUAACUCCGUGCCAGCAGCCGCGGUAAUACGGAGGAUCCGAGCGUUAUCCGGUUUUAUUGGGUUUAAAGGGUGCGUAGGUGGUUUGAUAAGUCAGCGGUGAAAGUUUGCAGCUUAACUGUAAAAAUGCCGUUGAAACUGUCGGACUUGAGUGUAAAUGAGGUAGGCGGAAUGCGUCGUGUAGCGGUGAAAUGCAUAGAUAUCACGCAGAACUCCGAUUGCGAAGGCAGCUUACUAAGCUACAACUGACACUGAAGCACGAAAGCGUGGGGAUCAAACAGGAUUAGAAACCCUUGUAGUCC